UUUAGUGGCGAACGGGUGCGUAAUACGUGAGAAUCUGCCCUUAGGAGGAGAAUAACUUCUGGAAACGGUUGCUAAGUCUCCAUAUGCCGAGAGGUGAAAUAGUUUAUACUGCCUAGGGAUGAGCUCACGCCUGAUUAGCUUGUUGGUAAGGUAAUGGCUUACCAAGGCCACGAUCAGUAGCUGGUUUGAGAGAACGAUCAGCCACACUGGGACUGAGACACGGCCCAGACUCCUCCGGGAGGCAGCAGUGAGGAAUUUUCCGCAAUGGGCGAAAGCCUGACGGAGCAAUACCGCGUGAGGGAUGAAGGAUUUUGGUCUGUAAACCUCUUUUCUCAAGAAAGAAGUUCUGACGGUACUUGAGGAAUAAGCAUCGGCUAACUCCGUGCCAGCAGCCGCGGUAAUACGGGGGAUGCAAGCGUUAUCCGGAAUCAUUGGGCGUAAAGCGCCUGUAGGUUGUUUAAUAAGUCUGUUGUUAAAGACUAGGGCUUAACCCUAGGAAAGCAAUGGAAACUGCUAGACUUGAGUAUGAUAGGGGUA
RNAcentral lists this ribosomal RNA (537 nucleotides) under uncultured Emiliania. RNAcentral describes it as "bacterial SSU rRNA". It matches the Rfam family "Bacterial small subunit ribosomal RNA", at positions 91 to 659 of the family's 1533-position model. Lineage: Eukaryota; Haptophyta; Isochrysidales; Noelaerhabdaceae. The record is from RNAcentral.